CACUGAGGUUUCUUUUUUUUUAUUUUUUUUAUUUUUUGAGAUGGGGUCUCACUCUAUCACCCAGGCUGGAGUGCAGUGGCGCGAUCUAGGCUCACUGCAACCUCUGCCUCCUGAGUUCAAGCAAUUCUCCUGCCUCAGCCUUUCAAGUAGCUGGGACUACAGGCAUGUGCCACCACACCCGGCGAAUUUUUUAUAUUUUUAGUAGAGACGAGGUUUCACUCCGUUAGCCAGGAUGGUCUCAAUCUCCUGACCUCGUGAUCAUCCCGUCUCGGCCUCCCAAAAUGCUGGGAUUACAAGUGUGAGCUACCGUGCCUGGCCCACUGAUGUUUCUUAAAUGAGAAUUCCAGCUGUGUCUACAGGCUUUAAAGAUGUACAGGCAUAUGUAUGUAAUCAUAUGAUCAUGGAAAAAACUAUGGUAUAUAAGCCUAACAUGCGGUAUCUAUUAUGGGGAUGGUAUAUCUAAAAGAAAAAACAUAUUGCACUUAAAACACACAGUCAUAAUAUGUAUAAUAUGAUACCUUUUUGCAUGACUAUGAUACUGUAUUUGUGUAUUCAUAGAUACAGAUUUUUAAAACAUAUUCUUAUGCAAGGAAGGAAAAAGUGUCGGUGAAUGACUUCAUAUUUCUAUUGUGACUUCUAUGUGCUCUGCACGGUUGCUGGAGUUCAGAAAACAUUGGAAAGAGUUAAAUGAGAAUGCAUAUGAGAGUUCAAGACUUCAGCAGAAAAAAAAUCACCUCAUUAAAGGAAAAUUGUGCCUUAUCCCCACUACUCGAAGAUGCAACCAUCUCCCUGGUCACAGCCACUUUUUUCCUUUUUUUCUCACUCCAUUGUACGUGUGUGUGGUGGGGCAGGGGAUAAGGGGAAUUAUCUCUCUCCAGUAUAAGAAGGUAAUGAUUCAAAGAUUUAAAUGCUAA
This is a long non-coding RNA of Pan troglodytes (chimpanzee), 914 nucleotides long. The record is from Ensembl. Lineage: Eukaryota; Metazoa; Chordata; Mammalia; Primates; Hominidae.